This 78-nucleotide transfer RNA is filed under the name archaeon HR06. Its description in RNAcentral is "tRNA-Val". It matches the Rfam family "tRNA". Rfam says of the family: Transfer RNA (tRNA) molecules are approximately 80 nucleotides in length. Their secondary structure includes four short double-helical elements and three loops (D, anti-codon, and T loops). Further hydrogen bonds mediate the characteristic L-shaped molecular structure. tRNAs have two regions of fundamental functional importance: the anti-codon, which is responsible for specific mRNA codon recognition, and the 3' end, to which the tRNAs corresponding amino acid is attached (by aminoacyl-tRNA synthetases). tRNAs cope with the degeneracy of the genetic code in two manners: having more than one tRNA (with a specific anti-codon) for a particular amino acid; and 'wobble' base-pairing, i.e. permitting non-standard base-pairing at the 3rd anti-codon position. The record is from RNAcentral.
GGGGACGUCGUCUAGUCUGGUUAGGACGCUACUCUGACGAGGUAGAGGUCAUGGGUUCAAAUCCCAUCGUCCCCACCA